This 460-nucleotide ribosomal RNA is filed under the name uncultured bacterium. RNAcentral's name for it is "partial 16S ribosomal RNA". It matches the Rfam family "Bacterial small subunit ribosomal RNA", at positions 338 to 795 of the family's 1533-position model. The record is from RNAcentral.
CCUACGGGGGGCAGCAGUGAGGAAUAUUGGUCAAUGGACGCAAGCCUGAACCAGCCAUGCCGCGUGCAGGAAGACGGCCCUAUGAGUUGUAAACUGCUUUUGUACGAGGGUAAACGCAGAUACGCGUAUCUGUCUGAAAGUAUCGUACGAAUAAGGAUCGGCUAACUCCGUGCCAGCAGCCGCGGUAAUACGGAGGAUUCAAGCGUUAGCCGGAUUUAUUGGGUUUAAAGGGUGCGUAGGCGGUCGGUUAAGUUCGAGGUGAAAUCCCGAGGCUCAACUUCGGAAUUGCCGUUGAUACUGUUCGGCUAGAGAGUAGUAGCGGUAGGCGGAAUGUAUGGUGUAGCGGUGAAAUGCUUAGAGAUCAUACAGAACACCGAUUGCGAAGGCAGCUUACCAAGCUACUUCUGACGUUGAGGCACGAAAGCGUGGGGAGCAAACAGGAUUAGAUACCCUAGUAGUC